UUUGCGGUUCUAAAGUCCCUGAUGCUCAGGCUGCUUAUGAGUCAGCAAAUACAAUCGUUCCAACGUCAUUGGCUGGUGUGAACUUUACCCUUCACGCUG
This is a regulatory RNA element of Kiloniella sp., 99 nucleotides long. It matches the Rfam family "Pyrrolysine insertion sequence mttB". NCBI's taxonomy places the organism in Bacteria, Pseudomonadati, Pseudomonadota, Alphaproteobacteria, Rhodospirillales, Kiloniellaceae. The record is from Rfam.